This 274-nucleotide ribosomal RNA is filed under the name uncultured bacterium. RNAcentral's name for it is "partial 16S ribosomal RNA". It matches the Rfam family "Bacterial small subunit ribosomal RNA", at positions 523 to 796 of the family's 1533-position model. The record is from RNAcentral.
AUACGGAGGGUGCAAGCGUUACUCGGAAUCACUGGGCGUAAAGCGCGCGCAGGCGGCUAUUUAAGUUGGAUGUGAAAGCCUACGGCUCAACCGUAGAACUGCAUCCAAAACUAUUUAGCUAGAGUGUGUGAGAGGAAGAUGGAAUUAGUUGUGUAGGGGUAAAAUCCGUAGAGAUAACUAGGAAUACCAAAAGCGAAGGCAAUCUUCUGGAACACUACUGACGCUGAGGCGCGAAAGCGUGGGGAGCAAACGGGAUUAGAAACCCUAGUAGUCC